This 551-nucleotide ribosomal RNA is filed under the name uncultured archaeon. Its description in RNAcentral is "bacterial SSU rRNA". It matches the Rfam family "Archaeal small subunit ribosomal RNA", at positions 325 to 878 of the family's 1478-position model. The record is from RNAcentral.
ACGGGGUGCAGCAGGCGCGAAAACUUUGCAAUACACGAAAGUGUGACAGGGCUAUCCCGAGUGCCAUCCGCUGAGGAAGGCUUUUACUCAGUUUAGAACGCUGGGAGAAUAAGGAGAGGGCAAGACUGGUGUCAGCCGCCGCGGUAAUACCAGCUCUCCGAGUGGUGUGGAUGUUUAUUGGGCCUAAAGCAUCCGUAGCUGGCUGGGCAAGUCCCCUGUUAAAUCCACCGAUUUAAUCGUUGGAGUGCGGGGGAUACUGCUCGGCUAGGGGACGGGAGAGGCAGACGGUAUUUUCGGGGUAGGGGUGAAAUCCUAUAAUCCCGGGAAGACCACCAGUGGCGAAGGCUGUCUGCUAGAACGUGCCCGACGGUGAGGGAUGAAAGCUGGGGGAGCGAACCGGAUUAGAUACCCGGGUAGUCCCAGCUGUAAACGAUGCAGGCUAGGUGUUUGGGCGGCCACGUGCCGCUCUAGUGCCGCAGGGAAGCCGUUAAGCCUGCCGCCUGGGGAGUACGGCCGCAAGGCUGAAACUUAAAGGAAUUGGCGGGGGAGCA